This 447-nucleotide ribosomal RNA is filed under the name uncultured bacterium. Its description in RNAcentral is "partial 16S ribosomal RNA". It matches the Rfam family "Bacterial small subunit ribosomal RNA", at positions 29 to 523 of the family's 1533-position model. The record is from RNAcentral.
AACGAACGCUGGCGGCAGGCUUAACACAUGCAAGUCGAGCGCCCCGCAAGGGGAGCGGCAGACGGGUGCGUAACGCGUGGGAACAUACCCUUUGGUUUGGAAUAACUCAGGGAAACUUGAGCUAAUACCGGAUAAGCCCUUCGGGGGAAAGAUUUAUCGCCAUAGGAUUGGCCCGCGUCUGAUUAGCUAGUUGGUGAGGUAACGGCUCACCAAGGCGACGAUCAGUAGCUGGGCUGAGAGGAUGAUCAGCCACACUGGGACCGCGACACGGCCCAUACUCGUACGGGAGGCAGGAGUGGGGAAUAUUGGACGAUGGGCGCAAGCCUGAUCCAGCCAUGCCGCGUGAGUGAUGACGGCCUUAGGGUUGUAAAGCUCUUUCGCUAGGGACGAUAAUGACGGUACCUAGAUAAGAAGCCCCGGCUAACUUCGUGCCAGCCGCCGCCGUAA